GAUGAACGCUGGCGGCGUGCCUAAUACAUGCAAGUCGAGCGAACAGACGAGGAGCUUGCUCCUCUGACGUUAGCGGCGGACGGGUGAGUAACACGUGGAUAACCUACCUAUAAGACUGGGAUAACUUCGGGAAACCGGAGCUAAUACCGGAUAAUAUAUUGAACCGCAUGGUUCAAUAGUGAAAGACGGUUUUGCUGUCACUUAUAGAUGGAUCCGCGCCGCAUUAGCUAGUUGGUAAGGUAACGGCUUACCAAGGCAACGAUGCGUAGCCGACCUGAGAGGGUGAUCGGCCACACUGGAACUGAGACACGGUCCAGAUUCCUACGGGAGGCAGCAGUAGAGAAUCUUCCGCAAUGGGCGAAAGCCUGACGGAGCAACGCCGCGUGAGUGAUGAAGGUCUUCGGAUCGUAAAACUCUGUUAUUAGGGAAGAACAAAUGUGUAAGUAACUAUGCACGUCUUGACGGUACCUAAUCAGAAAGCCACGGCUAACUACGUG
RNAcentral lists this ribosomal RNA (497 nucleotides) under uncultured bacterium. RNAcentral's name for it is "partial 16S ribosomal RNA". It matches the Rfam family "Bacterial small subunit ribosomal RNA", at positions 28 to 507 of the family's 1533-position model. The record is from RNAcentral.